RNAcentral lists this ribosomal RNA (338 nucleotides) under uncultured bacterium. RNAcentral describes it as "bacterial SSU rRNA". It matches the Rfam family "Bacterial small subunit ribosomal RNA", at positions 28 to 355 of the family's 1533-position model. The record is from RNAcentral.
AAUCAACGCUGGCGGCGUGCCUAACACAUGCAAGUCGAGCGCGAAAGGGGGGUAACUCCCGAGUAGAGCGGCGAACGGGUGAGUAACGCGUGGGUGAUCUACCUCCGAGUGGGGAACUAACCCCGGGAAACUGGGGCUAAUACCGCAUUGACAUCCCUGAGUCACAUCGGGGAUCAAAGCCGGGGACCGCGAGGCCUGGCGUUUGGAGAUGAGCCCGCGUCCGAUUAGCUAGUUGGCGGGGUAAGGCCCACCAAGGCUUCGAUCGGUAGCCGGCCUGAGAGGGCGGACGGCCACACUGGGACUGAGACACGGCCCAGACUCCUACGGGAGGCAGCAGU